UUGAUCCUGGCUCAGAACGAACGCUGGCGGCGCGUUUUAAGCAUGCAAGUCGGACGGUAGUACAGAGCUUGCUCUGUAUGAGAGUGGCGAACGGGUGAGUAACACGUAGGUGAUCUACCUUUGGAUUGGGGAUAGCCCAUGGAAACAUGGGGUAAUACCGAAUAAAGCGGUUGAAAUAGAAAUCAACUGUGAAAGGCGCUUAGGCGCCGUCUGAAGAUGAGCCUGCGGCUUAUUAGCUAGUUGGUAGGGUAACGGCUUACCAAUGCGACGAUAAGUAGCCGGCCUGAGAGGGUGGACGGNCACACUGGGACUGAGACACGGCCCAGACUCCUACGGGAGGCAGCAGCUAAGAAUCUUCCGCAAUGGGCGAAAGCCUGACGGAGCGACGCCGCGUGGGUGAAGAAGGCCGAAAGGUUGUAAAGCCCUUUUCUCGCAGAAGAAUAAGGGCAGGAGGGAAUGCCUGUCUGAUGACGUUAGGUGAGGAAUAAGCCCCGGCCAAUUACGUGCCAGCAGCCGCGGUAACACGUAUGGGGCGAGCGUUGUUCGGAAUCAUUGGGCGUAAAGGGCGCGCAGGCGGUUAAAUAAGCCUGGUGUGAAAGGCUACAGCUCAACUGUAGUUUCGCGCUGGGAACUGUCUGACUAGAGUUCUGGAGGGGAAGCUGGAAUUCCUGGUGUAGGGGUGAAAUCUGUAGAUAUCAGGAAGAACACCGGUGGCGAAGGCGAGCUUCUAGCCAAGAACUGACGCUGAGGCCGCGAAAGCGUGGGGAGCGAACAGGAUUAGAUACCCUGGUAGUCCACG
This 799-nucleotide ribosomal RNA is filed under the name uncultured organism. RNAcentral describes it as "bacterial SSU rRNA". It matches the Rfam family "Bacterial small subunit ribosomal RNA", at positions 13 to 799 of the family's 1533-position model. The record is from RNAcentral.